GUCGAUCCCUGCACAGCAGCAUGACCCGUGAACAUGUAAAAAUCUCUGGCCACGCGGGGGUCAAAGACAUAUGUUUUCGAGCCACGUUUGGCCUAGUUGGCGUGCGUUCAAGAUUGCUUCUAUGGGGCAUCAUGGAUGUCAUGUCGACACACUAACAACCCCCGGCACGGCAUGUGCCAAGGAAAAGUAAACUUAAAGGGCCCGUCUCAUUACGCCCCGUUUACGGUGUGCGCACUGGGCGUGGCUUCUUUUGUAAACUUAAAACGACUCUCGGCAACGGAUAUCUCGGCUCACGCAUCGAUGAAGAACGUAGCAAAAUGCGAUACUUGGUGUGAAUUGCAGAAUCCCGUGAACCAUCGAGUUUUUGAACGCAAGUUGCGCCCGAAGCCAUCCGGUUGAGGGCACGUCUGCCUGGGCGUCACGCAUCACGUCGGCCCACCAAACUUCCCAUCAAGGGAUCUUGGUUGGGGCGGAGAUUGGUCUCCCGUGCCCAUCGCAUGGUUGGCCUAAAUAGAAGUCUCCUCUCGAGGGAAGCACGGCUAGUGGUGGUUGAUAACACAGUCGUCUCGUGUUGUGCGUUUACUUUCGUGAGUGAUGCUACUUGUAAAACCUACUUGUUGUCCUUUGACGACGCUUCGAUCGCGACCCCAGGUCAGGCGGGACU
RNAcentral lists this ribosomal RNA (664 nucleotides) under Acmella paniculata. Its description in RNAcentral is "eukaryotic LSU rRNA". The stretch from base 266 to 421 matches the Rfam family "5.8S ribosomal RNA". The record is from RNAcentral. Lineage: Eukaryota; Viridiplantae; Streptophyta; Magnoliopsida; Asterales; Asteraceae.